UAAGGGCGCACGGUGGAUGCCUUGGCACUAGAAGCCGAUGAAGGACGUUACUAACGACGAUAUGCUUUGGGGAGCUGUAAGUAAGCUUUGAUCCAGAGAUUUCCGAAUGGGGAAACCCAGCAUGAGUUAUGUCAUGUUAUCGAUAUGUGAAUACAUAGCAUAUCAGAAGGCACACCCGGAGAACUGAAACAUCUUAGUACCCGGAGGAAGAGAAAGAAAAUUCGAUUCCCUUAGUAGCGGCGAGCGAAACGGGAAGAGCCCAAACCAACAAGCUUGCUUGUUGGGGUUGUAGGACACUCUAUACGGAGUUACAAAGGACGACAUUAGACGAAUCAUCUGGAAAGAUGAAUCAAAGAAGGUAAUAAUCCUGUAGUCGAAAAUGUUGUCUCUCUUGAGUGGAUCCUGAGUACGACGGAGCACGUGAAAUUCCGUCGGAAUCUGGGAGGACCAUCUCCUAAGGCUAAAUACUCUCUAGUGACCGAUAGUGAACCAGUACCGUGAGGGAAAGGUGAAAAGCACCCCGGAAGGGGAGUGAAAUAGAACCUGAAACCGUGUGCUUACAAGUAGUCAGAGCCCGUUAAUGGGUGAUGGCGUGCCUUUUGUAGAAUGAACCGGCGAGUUACGAUUUGAUGCAAGGUUAAGCAGUAAAUGUGGAGCCGUAGCGAAAGCGAGUCUGAAUAGGGCGUUUAGUAUUUGGUCGUAGACCCGAAACCAGGUGAUCUACCCUUGGUCAGGUUGAAGU
Molecule: ribosomal RNA, 742 nt
Filed under: Staphylococcus aureus
Lineage: Bacteria; Bacillati; Bacillota; Bacilli; Caryophanales; Staphylococcaceae
Description: partial 23S ribosomal RNA
Rfam family: Bacterial large subunit ribosomal RNA
Source: RNAcentral